CCUACGGGUGGCAGCAGUGAGGAAUAUUGGUCAAUGGACGAGAGUCUGAACCAGCCAAGUAGCGUGAAGGAUGACUGCCCUAUGGGUUGUAAACUUCUUUUAUAUGGGAAUAAAAUGUUCCACGUGUGGGAUUUUGUAUGUAACAUAUGAAUAAGGAUAGGCUAACUCCGUGCCAGCAGCCGCGGUAAUACGGAGGAUCCGAGCGUUAUCCGGAUUUAUUGGGUUGAAAGGGAGGGUAGUUGGAUUGUAAAGUCGGUUGUGAAAGUUUGCGGCUAAACCGAAAAAUUGCAGUUGAAACUGGCGGUCUUAGGUACAGUAGGGGUGGGCGGAAUUGGUGGUGUGGCGGUGAAUGCUUAGAUAUCACGAAGAACUCCGAUUGCGAAGGCAGCUCACUAGACUGCAACUGACACUGAGGCUCGAAAGUGUGGGUAUCAAACAGGAUUAGAUACCCCAGUAGUC
This 459-nucleotide ribosomal RNA is filed under the name uncultured bacterium. RNAcentral's name for it is "partial 16S ribosomal RNA". It matches the Rfam family "Bacterial small subunit ribosomal RNA", at positions 338 to 795 of the family's 1533-position model. The record is from RNAcentral.